This 465-nucleotide ribosomal RNA is filed under the name uncultured bacterium. Its description in RNAcentral is "partial 16S ribosomal RNA". It matches the Rfam family "Bacterial small subunit ribosomal RNA", at positions 338 to 795 of the family's 1533-position model. The record is from RNAcentral.
CCUACGGGAGGCAGCAGUGGGGAAUAUUGCGCAAUGGGCGAAAGCCUGACGCAGCGACGCCGCGUGAGGGAUGAAGGUCUUCGGAUCGUAAACCUCUGUCAGCAGGGAAGAACGGUCACUGUGCUAAUCAGCAGUGAAUUGACGGUACCUGCAAAGGAAGCACCGGCUAACUCCGUGCCAGCAGCCGCGGUAAUACGGAGGGUGCGAGCGUUAAUCGGAAUUACUGGGCGUAAAGCGCUCGUAGGCGGUAUGUUAAGUCAAGGGUGAAAUCCCCGCGCUCAACGUGGGAACUGCCUUUGAUACUGGCAAACUGGAGUGUGUGAGAGGAUAGUGGAAUUCCAGGUGUAGCGGUGAAAUGCGUAGAUAUCUGGAGGAACAUCAGUGGCGAAGGCGACUAUCUGGCACAUAACUGACGCUGAGGAGCGAAAGCGUGGGUAGCAAACAGGAUUAGAUACCCCUGUAGUC